Molecule: ribosomal RNA, 253 nt
Filed under: uncultured bacterium
Lineage: Bacteria
Description: partial 16S ribosomal RNA
Rfam family: Bacterial small subunit ribosomal RNA
Source: RNAcentral
UACGAAGGGGGCUAGCGUUGCUCGGAAUUACUGGGCGUAAAGGGAGCGUAGGCGGACAGUUUAGUCAGAGGUGAAAGCCCAGGGCUCAACCCUGGAAUUGCCUUUGAUACUGAUUGUCUUGAGUAUGGGAGAGGUGAGUGGAACUCCGAGUGUAGAGGUGAAAUUCGUAGAUAUUCGGAGGAACACCAGUGGCGAAGGCGACUCACUGGCCCAUUACUGACGCUGAGGCUCGAAAGCGUGGGGAGCAAACAGG